CGUUGCUUGGCUACACCGUCUGUUAGGGCCGCGCACGAGAUCAGUGACUGAGACCUCACCGCGUUGCCCCAGCACCAGGCUCGCGGGGUCCCGCGAGGGUCUCGGUAGCCGCGCGCCCCGAGACCCCCGCCGCGGCCCGAUUCUCUGAGCGCCAGACAUGAACCGCAAGAAGCUGCAGAAGCUGACGGACACCUUAACUAAAAAUUGCAAGCAUUGUCCAAGUUGUGGAAGCUUACCAAGAGACCCAUAGGAGAAAACAGUGCUCAACUUCUCAACAUCUUUCGGAGAGAGAGUUGUGUCAUCUCAUCUGUGCCUCAGAACAAUAUUUGUUUGGAAACCAGAGUUCAGCACAACUAAACACGUGUAUUCCGAGGUUUUGAUAAAGAUAAUGAUGGCUGUGUAAAUGUAUUGGAGUGGAUUCAUGGAUUAUCACUGUUUCUUCGAGGAUCUUUGGAAGAAAAAAUGAAAUAUUGCUUUGAAGUGUUUGAUUUGAAUGGUGACGGAUUCAUUUCAAAGGAGGAAAUGUUUCACAUGUUGAAGAACAGCCUUCUCAAACAGCCAUCUGAGGAAGACCCUG
Molecule: small RNA, 577 nt
Filed under: Pan troglodytes (chimpanzee)
Lineage: Eukaryota; Metazoa; Chordata; Mammalia; Primates; Hominidae
Description: processed transcript
Source: RNAcentral